RNAcentral lists this ribosomal RNA (488 nucleotides) under uncultured bacterium. RNAcentral describes it as "partial 16S ribosomal RNA". It matches the Rfam family "Bacterial small subunit ribosomal RNA", at positions 30 to 523 of the family's 1533-position model. The record is from RNAcentral.
AUUGAACGCUGGCGGCAGGCCUAACACAUGCAAGUCGAGCGGGGUUUUCGGACCUAGCGGCGGACGGGUGAGUAAUGCGUAGGAAGCUACCCGAUAGAGGGGGAUACCAGUUGGAAACGACUGUUAAUACCGCAUAAUGUCUACGGACCAAAGUGUGGGACCUUCGGGCCACAUGCUAUCGGAUGCGCCUACGUGGGAUUAGCUAGUUGGUGGGGUAAUGGCUCACCAAGGCGACGAUCCCUAGCCGGUUUGAGAGGAUGAUCAGCCACACUGGAACUGAGACACGGUCCAGACUCCGACGGGAGGCAGCAGUGGGGAAUAUUGGACAACGGGCGCAAGCCUGAUCCAGCCAUGCCGGGUGUGUGAAGAAGGCCUUCGGGUUGUAAAGCACUUUCAGUAGGGAGGAAGCGUUGUGUGUUAAUAGUACACAGCGUUGACGUUACCUACAGAAGAAGCACCGGCUAACUCUGUGCCAGCCGCCGCGGUAA